AGAGUUUGAUCCUGGCUCAGGAUGAACGCUGGUGGCGUGCCUAACACAUGCAAGUCGAACGGGAAUAGGAUGAAACCUAGUGAUUCCUAUUCCAGUGGCGGACGGGUGAGUAACGCGUGGGUAACCUGCCUUGCACUGGGGGAUAACACUUAGAAAUAGGUGCUAAUACCGCAUAAGCGCACAGAACCGCAUGGUUCGGUGUGAAAAACUCCGGUGGUGUAAGAUGGACCCGCGUCUGAUUAGCUGGUUGGUGAGGUAACGGCUCACCAAGGCGACGAUCAGUAGCCGGCCUGAGAGGGUGAACGGCCACAUUGGGACUGAGACACGGCCCAAACUCCUACGGGAGGCAGCAGUGGGGAAUAUUGCACAAUGGGGGAAACCCUGAUGCAGCAACGCCGCGUGAGUGAAGAAGUCAUUCGUGAUGUAAAGCUCUAUCAGCAGGGAAGAAAAUGACGGUACCUGACUAAGAAGCCCCGGCUAACUACGUGCCAGCAGCCGCGGUAAUACGUAGGGGGCAAGCGUUAUCCGGAUUUACUGGGUGUAAAGGGAGCGUAGACGGCGACGCAAGUCUGAAGUGAAAUGCCAGUGCUCAACACUGGAACUGCUUUGGAAACUGUGUAGCUAGAGUGCAGGAGAGGUAAGUGGAAUUCCUAGUGUAGCGGUGAAAUGCGUAGAUAUUAGGAGGAACACCAGUGGCGAAGGCGGCUUACUGGACUGUAACUGACGUUGAGGCUCGAAGGCGUGGGGAGCAAACAGGAUUAGAUACCCUGGUAGUCCACGCGGUAAACGAUGAUUUCUAAGUUACGGGGGGCUAAAAGCCCUUCGGUGCCGCCGCAAACGCAAUAAGUAAUCCCACCUGGGGAGUACGUUGGCAAGAAUGAAAUUCAAAGGAAUUGACGGGGACCCGCACAAGCGGUGGAGCAUGUGGUUUAAAUUCGAAGCAACGCGAAGAACCUUACCUGACCUUGACAUCCCUCUGGCCGGUCCGUAAUGGGACCUUCCCUUCGGGGCAGAGGAGACAGGUGGUGCAUGGUUGUCGUCAGCUCGUGUCGUGAGAUGUUGGGUUAAGUCCCGCAACGAGCGCAACCCCUAUCCUUAGUAGCCAGCAGUAAGAUGGGAACUCUAGGGAGACUGCCGGGGAUAAUCCGGAGGAAGGCGGGGAUGACGUCAAAUCAUCAUGCCCCUUAUGGCCAGGGCUACACACGUGCUACAAUGGCGUAAACAAAGGGAAGCGAGAUUGUGAAAUGGAGCAAAUCCCAAAAAUAACGUCUCAGUUCGGAUUGUAGUCUGCAACUCGACUACAUGAAGCUGGAAUCGCUAGUAAUCGCAGAUCAGAAUGCUGCGGUGAAUACGUUCCCGGGUCUUGCACACACCGCCCGUCA
RNAcentral lists this ribosomal RNA (1382 nucleotides) under uncultured bacterium. Its description in RNAcentral is "bacterial SSU rRNA". It matches the Rfam family "Bacterial small subunit ribosomal RNA". The record is from RNAcentral.